Molecule: ribosomal RNA, 740 nt
Filed under: Microbacterium aerolatum
Lineage: Bacteria; Bacillati; Actinomycetota; Actinomycetes; Micrococcales; Microbacteriaceae
Description: bacterial SSU rRNA
Rfam family: Bacterial small subunit ribosomal RNA
Source: RNAcentral
CUUUUAGCAGGGAAGAAGCGAAAGUGACGGUACCUGCAGAAAAAGCGCCGGCUAACUACGUGCCAGCAGCCGCGGUAAUACGUAGGGCGCAAGCGUUAUCCGGAAUUAUUGGGCGUAAAGAGCUCGUAGGCGGUUUGUCGCGUCUGCUGUGAAAUCCCGAGGCUCAACCUCGGGCCUGCAGUGGGUACGGGCAGACUAGAGUGCGGUAGGGGAGAUUGGAAUUCCUGGUGUAGCGGUGGAAUGCGCAGAUAUCAGGAGGAACACCGAUGGCGAAGGCAGAUCUCUGGGCCGUAACUGACGCUGAGGAGCGAAAGGGUGGGGAGCAAACAGGCUUAGAUACCCUGGUAGUCCACCCCGUAAACGUUGGGAACUAGUUGUGGGGUCCAUUCCACGGAUUCCGUGACGCAGCUAACGCAUUAAGUUCCCCGCCUGGGGAGUACGGCCGCAAGGCUAAAACUCAAAGGAAUUGACGGGGACCCGCACAAGCGGCGGAGCAUGCGGAUUAAUUCGAUGCAACGCGAAGAACCUUACCAAGGCUUGACAUAUACGAGAACGGGCCAGAAAUGGUCAACUCUUUGGACACUCGUAAACAGGUGGUGCAUGGUUGUCGUCAGCUCGUGUCGUGAGAUGUUGGGUUAAGUCCCGCAACGAGCGCAACCCUCGUUCUAUGUUGCCAGCACGUAAUGGUGGGAACUCAUGGGAUACUGCCGGGGUCAACUCGGAGGAAGGUGGGGAUGACG